GAUGAACGCUGACAGAAUGCUUAACACAUGCAAGUCAACUUGAACUUCGGUUUGGGUGGCGGACGGGUGAGUAACGCGUAAAGAACUUGCCUCACAGCUAGGGACAACAUUUGGAAACGAAUGCUAAUACCUGAUAUUAUGAUUUUAGGGCAUCCUAGAAUUAUGAAAGCUAUAUGCGCUGUGAGAGAGCUUUGCGUCCCAUUAGCUAGUUGGAGAGGUAACGGCUCACCAAGGCGAUGAUGGGUAGCCGGCCUGAGAGGGUGAACAGCCACAAGGGGACUGAGACACGGCCCUUACUCCUACGGGAGGCAACAGUGGGGAAUAUUGGACAAUGGACCAAGAGUCUGAUCCAGCAAUUCUGCGUGCACGAUGAAGUUUUUCGGAAUGUAAAGUGCUUUCAGUUGGGAAGAAAAAAAUGACGGUACCAACAGAAGAAGUGACGGCUAAAUACGUG
Molecule: ribosomal RNA, 454 nt
Filed under: uncultured bacterium
Lineage: Bacteria
Description: partial 16S ribosomal RNA
Rfam family: Bacterial small subunit ribosomal RNA
Source: RNAcentral